Oncorhynchus tshawytscha (Chinook salmon) is the source of this 3093-nucleotide long non-coding RNA. The record is from Ensembl. NCBI's taxonomy places the organism in Eukaryota, Metazoa, Chordata, Actinopteri, Salmoniformes, Salmonidae.
CUUAUCUAGAUGAUAUUGUUUUAUCUAGAUGAUAGUGUGUUACUUAUCUAGAUAUUGUGUUACUUAUCUAGAUGAUAUUGUGUUACUUAUCUAGAUGGUAGUGUGUUACUUAUCUAGAUGGUACCCAACUCUUCAGGGUAUAGAUUUGUGAGAAUGUUAAGGCAGGGAGAGAAAAAAAGGAAAACCGCUCACUGAAAGGUCAGAACACUUUUUUGUUUGUUUGUCCUACAACAUUUUUGAAGAAAUGUCUAGGAAACGUGACUGUGCCUUUGUAGACAAAAAGACUCAGAGAAACAGGCGGUGUUUUAUACAAGCUUUAUUACAACUUGGUUAACAGCUGUACAUGUCAGAGCGUAGGAAGCACAUUUUAUCAACAAGUUUCAAAUGGACAGGUAACUAUGACCACUAAUGUCCUCCUCCACUGUUUGUUAGUCCCAUACAGUGUGUACAUAUUAUACAAGCAGCAAUAUAAAACUUGGCAAAUGGAAAGGUUUUUUGCUACUUUAUUUUUUAAUGUAAAAUAAGUCUUUCCUAUGAAUAAAAAAUACAGCAACCAUAAAACCUGGCGAUUAAGUUCUGACUGAAAAGCCUCAGUUCUUUAAACUGUAUUUUCUCCUAGAGGUUUUUUUAGCCUCUAGGAAAACCAGAUUGAACGCUACGCUCACAAUUGUUUGAAACAUUCAGUCUGGUGUAACUAUGCUAGAGGUUUAUUGUCCUGUGUAGAACACUGGCCUGGUCCCAGAUCACUUGUCAAGACAGCACACACUGAUCUGGGACCAGGCCAGGAGACUAACCGAUCUGGGACCAGGCCAGGAGACUAAGAUCUGGGACCAGGCCAGAAGACUAACCAAUCUGGGACCAGGCCAGGAGACUAACCAAUCUGGGACCAGGCCAGGAGACUAACCGAUCUGGGACCAGGCCAGGAGACUAACCGAUCUGGGACCAGGCCAGGAGACCAACCGAUCUGGGACCAGGCCAGGAGACUAACCGAUCUGGGACCAGGCCAGGAGACUAACCGAUCUGGGACCAGGCCAGGAGACUAACCGAUCUGGGACCAGGCCAGGAGACUAACUGAUCUGGGACCAUGCCAGGAGACCAACCGAUCUGGGACACAAGUAGUAACACGUUGCCCUACCAAUCAUAUCACCACAUGUCAGGAGACUAGUAUUUAACACAAGUAGAGACACGUUGCCCUACCAAUCAUAUCACCACAUGUCAGGAGACUAGUAUUUAACACAAGUAGUAACAGCCAUACAAAGUUCAUCAGUUACAUAAUAAUAUGGACACAUCCUUUUAUUAUAAACUGAAAAAAACACAGUAUCAGCAACAAGUCAAUAAGUCUAGUCUUACUCACACCGGUUUGGUUUUUACACUCGAGGCGAAAGCACUUUCAACAUGUUCAUGAUAUAACAUGAUAGGAAAGAUCCUCUUUGACUUCUACCCGUCUGUCCAUUGGUUAGUGGUCCAUUAGUGACGCAGCGGGUCUAGAGGCAUCGCUACAGACCCGGGUUCGAUCCCGGGCCCAGUGUCGUCCGGGCUAGGGGAAGGUUUGAACAGGGUAGGCCGUCAUUGUAAAUAAGAAUUGUUCUUGCUUAGUUCAAUAAAGGUUCAAUAAAAAAUGAAAACGUGUGUUUGUUCUCGUACUAAAAUGAAUGUUUUAUACUGGACAGGUGGAGGUAGAACAUCCCCAUUUCAGUCCGUUUUCUAACGUUUGGUGCCUAAUGAACAUGACCCGGGACAGGGCAGUCUUACUACGUGGGCCAUCUGCUAAUGAACCACGACCCGGGACAGGGCAGUCUUACUACGUGGGCCAUCUGCUAAUGAACCACGACCCGGGACAGGGCAGUCUUACUGCGUGAGCCAUCUGCUAAUGAACCACGACCCGGGACAGGGCAGUCUUACUGCGUGAGCCAUCUGCUAAUGAACUACGACCCGGGACAGGGCAGUCUUACUGCGUGGGCCAUCUGCUAAUGAACCACGACCCGGGACAGGGCAGUCUUACUGCGUCGGCCAUCUGCUAAUGAACCACGACCCGGGACAGGGCAGUCUUACUGCGUCCGCCAUCUGCUAAUGAACCACGACCCGGGACAGGGCAGUCUUACUGCGUCGGCCAUCUGCUAAUGAACCACGACCCGGGACAGGGCAGUCUUACUGCGUCCGCCAUCUGCUAAUGAACCACGACCCGGGACAGGGCAGUCUUACUGCGUCCGCCAUCUGCUAAUGAACCACGACCCGGGACAGGGCAGUCUUACUGCGUCGGCCAUCUUGCUGUAUUUUUUCAAAAAGGCUCUGCCAUGGCAUCCUAUCAACAAGCCUACUUGUUUUAUAAAAAGGUUAGAGAAAGGUUUUACACAUUUUAUACAAUGUAGGAAAUGUAUGAAUCUAAGUCAAUACUGCAUAUGUAUGCAUGAAUCUAAGUCAAUACUGCAUAUGUAAGGCGAAUAAAAACAGGAAUACAUAUCAAAGUCAUAAAGGCUAGAUAGAAGCAUGUGAUCUCUUCUACCAAUUUAAAGAGAGAGAAACACAUCGAGGUUAUUAUCAGUGAAAUAAAGAAGCAGAGCACUCCUUACAUAGAGAAGUCAUCAGAACACUUAAACGGAAAUACAUGGAAACUGAACAUCUAGACUGAGUGUAGAAAACAUUAAGAACACCUGCUCUUUCCGUGACAUAGAGCCCCCCAACUCAACUCUGGAACAGUUUGAAUCCAGGUCUGAUUUAGACAUGGGACACCAGGGCCUGAUUUAGACAUGGGACACCAGGGUCUGGUUUAGACAUGGGACACCAGGGCCUGAUUUUGACAUGGGACACCAGGGUCUGAUUUAGACAUGGGACACCAGGGUCUGAUUUAGACAUGGGACACCAGGGUCUGAUUUAGACAUGGGACACCAGGGCCUGAUUUAGACAUGGGACACCAGGGUCUGAUUUUGACAUGGGACACCAGGGCCUGAUUUAGACAUGGGACACCGGUGCCUGGUUUAGACAUGGGACACCAGGGUCUGGUUUAGACAUGGGACACCAGGGCCUGAUUUAGACAUGGGACACCGGGGCCUGGUUUAGACAUGGGACACCGGGGCCUGAUGGGACACCAGGGCC